GGUUAAGUUAAUAAGGGCGCACGGUGGAUGCCUUGGCACUAGAAGCCGAAGAAGGACGUGACAAACGACGAAAUGCUUUGGGGAGCUGUAAGUAAGCGCUGAUCCAGAGAUGUCCGAAUGGGGGAACCCACUAACUAAUGGUUAGUAUCCAUAACUGUUAAGGUUAUGAGAAGGAAGACGCAGUGA
This 186-nucleotide ribosomal RNA is filed under the name Streptococcus pyogenes. RNAcentral's name for it is "partial 23S ribosomal RNA". It matches the Rfam family "Bacterial large subunit ribosomal RNA", at positions 1 to 191 of the family's 2925-position model. RNAcentral also lists the same sequence under 1 other name. The record is from RNAcentral. Lineage: Bacteria; Bacillati; Bacillota; Bacilli; Lactobacillales; Streptococcaceae.